UCUCCCACAAUCAUCUGGCAUAGCGGCUCACGAGAGAAGCGCCUGAGAGCGCGAUUACGCACUUCACUUCUUCAGAGCGUGCGGAAAAUGUAUUAAUUAAAGGAUCAUAGGAAUUGACAGCAUAUCCAGACACAUAGACCACUGGGGUAAAAACACUCCUGGGAAGGAACACUGACUUAUCUGCAUGCCCAUGGAAUUACAAGAUGGACUAAGAUAUAUAUGGAAAACCUACCAGGUGCACCAUCAAUGACGUCACUUCUGAUUUCGGUCCCACGGACAACGUCACUUCCGGUUUCUGGCACCAUAGAUGAUGUCACUUCCGGUUCCGGCACCACAGUCAACGGCACUUCGAUUUUGGCCUUUAAAGCCACCAUCAUUUCACCAUCCAGUCAGUUCAGUUCUAUGGAGGAAUAUUUCGGACAAAAUGAAAUAAAUAAAUAAAUGCGUAAAUAAAUAAAAGUACUG
Polypterus senegalus (gray bichir) is the source of this 465-nucleotide long non-coding RNA. RefSeq lists it as uncharacterized. The record is from RefSeq and is a predicted model, not a curated record. The transcript is spliced from 3 exons. Lineage: Eukaryota; Metazoa; Chordata; Cladistia; Polypteriformes; Polypteridae.